ACACAUGCAAGUCGAGGGGAAACGACAUCGAAAGCUCGCUUUUGAUGGGCGUCGACCGGCGCACGGGUGAGUAACGCGUAUCCAACCUGCCCACCACUUGGGGAUAACCUUGCGAAAGUAAGACUAAUACCCAAUGACGUCUCUAGAAGACAUCUGAAAGAGAUUAAAGAUUUAUCGGUGAUGGAUGGGGAUGCGUCUGAUUAGCUUGUUGGCGGGGUAACGGCCCACCAAGGCGACGAUCAGUAGGGGUUCUGAGAGGAAGGUCCCCCACAUUGGAACUGAGACACGGUCCAAACUCCUACGGGAGGCAGCAGUGAGGAAUAUUGGUCAAUGGGCGAGAGCCUGAACCAGCCAAGUAGCGUGCAGGAUGACGGCCCUAUGGGUUGUAAACUGCUUUUAUAAGGGAAUAAAGUGAGUCUCGUGAGACUUUUUGCAUGUACCUUAUGAAUAAGGACCGGCUAAUUCCGUGCCAGCAGCCGCGGUAAUACGGAAGGUCCGGGCGUUAUCCGGAUUUAUUGGGUUUAAAGGGAGCGUAGGCCGGAGAUUAAGCGUGUUGUGAAAUGUAGACGCUCAACGUCUGCACUGCAGCGCGAACUGGUUUCCUUGAGUACGCACAAAGUGGGCGGAAUUCGUGGUGUAGCGGUGAAAUGCUUAGAUAUCACGAAGAACUCCGAUUGCGAAGGCAGCUCACUGGAGCGCAACUGACGCUGAAGCUCGAAAGUGCGGGUAUCGAACAGGAUUAGAUACCCUGGUAGUCCGCGCGGUAAACGAUGGAUGCCCGCUGUUGGUCUGAAUAGGUCAGCGGCCAAGCGAAAGCAUUAAGCAUCCCACCUGGGG
RNAcentral lists this ribosomal RNA (837 nucleotides) under uncultured bacterium. RNAcentral describes it as "bacterial SSU rRNA". It matches the Rfam family "Bacterial small subunit ribosomal RNA", at positions 51 to 878 of the family's 1533-position model. The record is from RNAcentral.